AAGCCUACUUGUCAAACAGAUAGGACUAAAAGCUGUGUUGCCUAGCAUAAUAUUAAUCUGGCAUUGGCAUAAUAGAAAAAUAUUGGCAUGCAUCUUAGUGGAUUUCUUUUAGAACCAAACAUGAAACAAAAUAUGUCUCUAGGACUAAAAGCUCGUGUCCUAUCAGACUUCUGAAUCAAUGUAACCUCAUGCUCUGUUCUCUUAUAAAACACUGGGAAUUAUGUCCACUGCCUCCUCACAUUUUAUGUUCAUGAUAUUUCAUGAUGCACUUUGCUGCAAAUUGACUUCUACUAGAGAAUUACAAAAUAUCCACAUGCGCAUGAUUCUUGGCCAUAUGUGGACUUUAUUAAAUCAUCAUGUGCAUCAAACAUUCCCAGUGCUAUGCCCUAGAUAAAAGAUGAUUAAAGGGUCUUCUCUCUUCCAGAAUCCCCAUGCAAAUAGUAUUUUAUGACCCUCUGAGGACAUACCUGACUACUCAUUGGCAAAUAUGGUAAAAAACCGAGUGUGAACAUUGGUCCGAAGCUAGCUUGCCUAGCAUAAUAUUAAUCUUACAUGAUCUAAUGAACUUUAGUUUGAACUAAUAUUUUUAGAGACUUGACAGCAAAAAACUAGCUUUUCAGUGCCACC
This 627-nucleotide long non-coding RNA is filed under the name Elaeis guineensis (African oil palm). RNAcentral describes it as "long non-coding RNA (EGUI_LNC077425)". Lineage: Eukaryota; Viridiplantae; Streptophyta; Magnoliopsida; Arecales; Arecaceae. The record is from RNAcentral.